Molecule: long non-coding RNA, 7671 nt
Organism: Camelus dromedarius (Arabian camel)
Lineage: Eukaryota; Metazoa; Chordata; Mammalia; Artiodactyla; Camelidae
Exons: 3
Source: RefSeq, a predicted model, not a curated record
AGCAUCGUCCUGCAAACCACCCAGGGCGGGAAUCUCUUACGCUGUUGCUUCUUGAAGAAGGCUCAAGGCUCCAGGUGGUGGUCUCCUGCUUUCCAGCCCCUGCUGAGAAAAUCCUCCAAGAAUGGUCGGAGAGCAAAGUCUCAGAAUUCCCUUCACCUGUAGCUGCAGGCCAGCAACGCCUAGGACUCAACUCCUGCGGGCCAUGUCCAGUUGAAGAUAAAUCAUGUCCCUAGGACAAAGUGGUAAAAUCUUCCAAUUUUUUGCCUUUGCUGUCCAGACCUUUAUUUAUCUCAACCUCUCCUUCCAUGGAUGGGUCCAGAAUAUUCAUGGUUCUUUCUCAACCACCAACCAAAGUGGAGAAGGUUGGGGGCAUCUAUGAGAAGUGGGAAGAACUCUGACCAGGAGUCAGAAGACCUGCAAGAGGCACUAAAAGAAUUUUCCAUUGUGGCCCUUGCAUGUCCUUGUCCCCAUCAGCUGUUCUCUACCUCUCUUUCAAGUGACUUUAGCCUCUAACUGCUCCUCCCCACCCUCUUGAUCAAAUCACAGACAUGGGCUCCUCAUCCUUAACAACAAUUCCUCCUAUUUCCAAAAACUAUCUUUGAUGACAGUCAGCCCUCUGUACCUGCAGAUAUGGAGAGCUAAGUGGACUAAGCCAUUUUGUAUAAGAGAUGUGAGCAUCUGCGGGGCGUGGGGAGGGGGUGGGGGUGUUCCCCGAACGACCUCCCUCUGGAUAUCCAGGGGCAACUGUAUUUCCCCAAACUAGGUGAACUUCUGGUGACCCCUCCUCUUAAAUCCUCAUAAAAAAUACUGCCCCACUCAGCCCCCUUCUUCAAGUGAGAGGGCUCUUUUGGAGACUUCUCAUGCCUAGCAUUUUGGAAUAAAGUCUUACGCUAAAGGUGCUCGGUUUGAUAUUCUCAGUGAACGUCUCAAGUCCUACCUUGGAUUCGGUGAACUAAGAUGGUGAAAUGUGCAUUCCAUACUAAUGGUGUCCAGAGAAUUACUGGAGACUCAGCGGGAACACAGUGCGCGGCCUGGUUGUAACGUGUUCUUGGGCUACCUCCAGGGCUGCUGUUGUCCCAGUGUCUCUGGUUGGGGCUCCAAAGAGCUUGGCCUCAGAGCCCUUCAGUUCAGUCCCGGCAGACGCUUCUCUCUGCCCGCCGUUGGUUCAGCCCCCACACCGCUCUCUGCAGUCACCUGCUUCAUGGGGACAAACCCGGCCUCUCCGCUCUAACUGCCCACACCUGGCCUUGGUUGGCGAGCAUUACUCUUGUGAUUCCAGAAGCAGCAAAACCUGCAGCUGGCUCCCCUAACCCGUUAGGAUUGACAAGCCACAGGGCAGAACCAGAGUGGAAACCCUCAUGUUCUUGUGACCAGAAGUUUCAUUAAGGAAAAUUAAACUCCCUUUGGAGAUCAUCACCACUUUGACUAACAUACGGUGGCCAACUGCAGCCAUCUUUAUUCAGAGCAGGUCUUCCUCAGUAAAAGAGAUGGCUUGGUGCCCCUGAGCUUGCUGUUGGGAUAAAAUAAUUUGCUUGGCUCUUUUGACUUCCUUACAUUUAUUUAUUUAUUUAUUUAUUUAUUUAGUUAGUUAGUUAGUUAGUUAGUUAGUUAGUUAGUUUUUUGUAGAGUGGGAAGUAAUUAGGGUUAUUAUCAUUUUUUUAAUGGUAAGCAUGCGCCCUGCCGCUGAGCUAUACCCUCCCCACUGCCUUCCUUACAUUUAACCUCUGGCCUUGACCACUCCUGUAAGCCCAUUAGGGAGGACAGUGAGCAAGCAAGGUGACCCCCGCUUUUCUCCUCUGCGAGGGCUUGAUUCUCCCACUUUUCCUGCUGCGGUAUCCUGAGAGAGGAAACUUAAAUCUUUGGACAGCCACCACUGUGUCCUCAGUGUGGCUGGCUCUAAGUCACUAGUCCUUGCUCUGUUAGCCCAGUCCUGAGUUGAUGUUUGUCCCUAAAUGACCAGUCAAAACUGGACAUACCAGUGCCCAACCUAAUCAGCCCACCGAGGCUGAGCUCAUCCAGCUUUCCAGGUCCUCUUGGAGUGCUCUGCCGUCUUCAUCACUGCUCUGCCUCCAUAUUGACUGACGCCCUGAAUUCUAGAGCCCCGUGUGCUCCCUGCACUCUCCACUUUUCUUAGAGAUGCUGGCCAGCUCUGGGAGAGUCUGAGGAGGAGACUCUGCCUUCCUGAGGAGGCCCAGGCCAACUCAACAGGAUUCCAUCCGGGACACUAGAAUUCAUCCCUGGGAUCUGAACCAAGAUGUCUCCUCUUUUUUUCCCCCUCCUUUCCUCCAGAUUUUUCCCUUUGUGUUAUAUUCACCACACCUGCCCCCAACGCCCGCCCCCAAUAGCUCUUGCCUUAAAGUCAUCCUCCAAUCUUUCAGCCUUUUACAAGUAAUUGCAUUGUUUCCUGCCUGAGUGAUUAAAGCAGGCUCUAAUUCCCUGUGUCUCUCUAGAUAAAACACUGGCGGCUUUUAUGCCAAAAGGAAAGCACUUUAAAAUGUGACCUCAGCCAACCCCUUGUCGAGGAGGAAGAAAUUUUUCUCUACCCUUCUAGAUUCUUCUGGAUAGUCUGAGAAUUAAAUUGACAUGAGACAGAUUAACGGGAGAAAAUCAAAGUUUAAAAGCACAUACAUGUGGAGGGUGGGGAACAGCUCAGUGGCAGAGCGUGUGCUUAGCAUGGAAGAAGUCCUGGGUUCAGGCCCCAGUACAUUCAUUAAAAAAAGAAAAAAAGCAUACAUGAAAGAGACCCAGGAAAACAGAGUAACUCACCAAAGGCUGAAGCCCUCACCUUAAUACCAUCUUCAGCUAAAGACAGAAGAGGAUGUUGGGGAUAGUGGUUUGGGACUUCGAAGGGGAAGAAGGCAAUUUACAUGUAGAUAGAAAAGCAAGUGUCUGGUAAACAAAUGUUUGCUGGGCCUGGCAGAGACACUGCGACCCAGAGAGGAAUUUUAACAGACUGUGCUAGGUUCCUCCCUGUUUACACGCUUAGUUCAUGCUGUAGUUGUCUAUGGCAAUAGCUCCCUUCCUGGAGGAGGUCCCCAUCUACAUUCUUUCAGGCAGUUAGAAGAAGGUCAGAUUUUCUUCCAGAGUCUUUUUGAGUCUUAUAACAAUCAGCCUAAAUUAAUCCUCAUGCCAAAGGGACAGAAUCGGGGGGGGGGGGGUGGGUUCUGCUCCCCUAUACCCUCUUGCUUUAGCUCUUAUCACACCCCCACAUUCAAGCACCACAAGAGCCACAUCAAAUUUUCCCCCACGCUCCCAAUGAAAUUUAAGACUUCAAGUCUUCCUAGCACCUCCUUACCCCUCUCCCAGGCAGAAUAACCCCCUCAUUUAUCUGUUUCCAGGGCAUGUUGAAGUCUCAGUCUUAGAAGUUGGAGGGGACAGCUCAUCUAGAUGUUGGUGCUCCGGUGGAGAAUUAUGGGCAGGGGCAGAGGUGUGGAAGGAAGACGAGAAGAAAUGUAGACCUGCUAUUGAGACAGAAGGGAAGGGGGCAGGACACAGCUGUUAAAGGAAUGACACAGCAGUUAGCACUAAGAGGGUGGAAAAACCAACUCCCAAUAGACCUAGAGACCCAGGAUGGCGGGAGGUCCAACCUCCAGUGGACCUGGAGCUUCAUUGUACACGUUGUAAUGUCCUAGCCUGGUGAAUAACAUACCCACAGGCGCCAUGAUGGUUCUCAAGCUAACCAUGAAAGGUCAAAGAGGGGAUUCCCAGGAAUUGGUGGCCCAGUUCCUGGGAAUUCCUUCCCCUUCCUCAAAGUAGUAGGAAUAAUCCUCUCAUUUGUUAGCACAUAAAAACUAGCAAUACCACGCCUGGCCAGCGCACCCUUUCUCUCUUGCCUUCUGAGGUGGCCCACACUCUGUCUAUGGAGUGUGUUUCUACCUUUAAUAACCCCCCGCCCCUCACAGCCAUACAUCUCUCUAAAUAAAUCUACUUUUACUCAACUAUGACUUGCUCUUGAAUUCUUCCCUGUGGUCAGCCAAAGACCCUCAUUUGGUGGUGUGUCCCCCAGGGAUUUGCCUGAGUCCUGGGACGUGACCAUCCUCUCAUGCCCCAUUUUUCCUGUACAGGAGGCAAGGGGACAAUGCCUUGGCACUCCUGCAUUGAGCACUCAUUGGUGGGAGCUGUUUCUAGGGAAGGAGUGUAUAUAACCUUGAGUGGGCAGCUUCCUUUGGCUGAGAACAAUGCCUAGAGAGGGACUCAUCUGUGAGCUGUUCGUGGCAACACUUGCACAACUAGGGGAAUGAGUGUCCUGAUCCUAAAGGGUAGAUCUGGGCAACCCUCUGCAGCAUCCUUUUCAGUAGGAUAAACACAGGUCAGACCUUCCCAAGUUUGUAGAACAUGCCAAACACUUCGGGUGUUAUAGUAAGAAGAGUGAGAGGACAAUUAAGAUUUCAAGGAAGGGAGUUACGUAAGUAGAUUUGUGUUUCAGAGACCUCUCUGGAAGCCAGGUGAAGGAUGGGCUGAAGGGCAACAAGACUGAAUUCAAGGUGGGAGAUUAGGCGGCUGUUACGGUGAUCUGUGGGGGAGAUCAUAAAGGCCAGAACUGACAUGGUGUCAGUGGAGAGAGAGAUAAAUGGAUGUUGUGAUAUUGUGAUUUACAAGAAAUAGAUAUUUGGUUUUCAACUGCUGUUUCUAGCCCAGAGCUCCUAAAACCCUUGAAGUUUUCUUUGAUGAGAGCCAUAAAAUUGUCUUUUGUUAUGUUAAUAAGAUGGCUUUCAGAAAGCACCUAAGGAUGGAGUCUGUUUGCCUUUGGAGCCAACUCUGUGAUGAUAGGGUUGAAACUUUUCUUUCCACCAGGUGACUUUGGGGGAGGAAAGAGGGGCUGGAGGUUGUGUUUAAUCACCAACAGCCAAUGAUGUAAUCAAUCGUGCCUCUGUAAUGAAGCCUCCAGAAAAACCCCAAAGGAGAGAAUUCAGAGGUUCCGGCUGGGUGAACACAUGGAGAUUCAGGAGAGGGUGCACUCCGAGAGCCUGGAAGCCCCAUGCCCUUUCCCCACACCUUGCCCUAUGCAUCUUUUCCAUCUGACUGCUCCUGAGUUAUAGCCUUUUAUAAUACACCAGUACUCUAGUAAGUAAAAUGUUUCUCUGAGUGCUGUGAGCUGCUCCAGCAAAUUAAUCAAACUCAAGGUGGGGGGUGGGGAACUGUGGAACCUCUGAUUUAUAGCCAGAUGGUCAGAAGCACAGUUGACAACCUAGACUUGUGAUUAGUGUCUGAAGUGCAGGGCAGUCUUGUGGGACUGAGCCCUUACCCUGCGGAAUCUGACCAUCUCCAGGUAGACAGUGUCAGAAUUGAGUGAAAUUGUAGGAUACCCGGCUGGUAUCAGAGAAUUGGUGGUGUGUGUGGGAGGGUGAAAUACAUACAUUGUAAUUGAUGAUCAGGACUGCAGAUGUCUUUGAGAAAUAUUUAGAAUGCAGAAUUGACAACUUGGUUACUGACUACGUAAGGGGUAGAGAGAGGAAGGAGUCAAGGUUGAUGGGGGAUUCUGCACUGUUGAUGACAGUCUCUGUUCUGACCCCUGCUAGUCUAUCAUCCAGACUGCAUGCAGCCAGGGUGAUGCAGCCAGUUAGCAAGCCUCAUUAUGUAAUUCUCGUGUUUUGGAGCCUUGACUGCCUGCCGAUUCCUCCCCAAUAAAUUCCUCAGGCUCAGGGAAGGCUUUGCAAGUGAGUUACAUCUAAGUGAAGAUCUACAGCAGGAGUAACAGGUAGACCAGGAGUAAGGAUUGAGGAGGUACCUUCCUGAUGGAAAAGUAUCAUGGACAGGCCACCUCUCAGAAUUGCACAUGACUCUUGGGGACCCAGUUUCUGCUACUCCACUUAUCUUUGGUAUUUGUCACCCACUCGGCUCUUAGAGCCUUGUUUAGACAUACGCCCUUGCCUAGACUAACUCCUGAUAGAAAAGCACCUUUCCUCUUAUCAUAUCUGCCUCCAGAAGUGGUCCCCUGUCUAAAUCCUGCUCACUUCCACCUUACUUCCAGGACAGACCACCUGACGGCCUCUCUGAAAGACACUUAGAAAUUCACGAGGAUGAUGUCCAGAUCUCAGCUCCAUUAUGGAAGCCCACUUAAUGAGGUUUUUUAGCAUUGACCUCAAAUCUUACAUUAUUUUGAAGGGUUCAGUGCCUUCCAUCCUUUAGAAAGCUAGGCAGAUGUGAGAUAAUUUCACUGUGGUUCAACAUAACCCACACACCUAUGAAGACCAAGUUCUCAGACACGUCAGUUUUCCAAGCCAUGUAGUGCUGAGGGCAUGACCCCCUCAUUUCUCUAUCCUUGCUGAGCAAUGAGACACAUUCUUUAUAAAUCAAUUUUCAGAAAGCAUAGAUUUUUCUUUUCCCUUGGAAAAUGUCAACACAGUUUUUAACCUUACAUAGUUUCAUGGAAAUCUUCCCAACUAGCUUUCAAAUCUACUUAUUCUUUAAAAGCCAUUUAUUUUCUUAAUGACAUCAGAUGACAUUAGGAAGAUGCACUAUUGCAUUGCAUACAGGGAUCUCUCAGAGAUUAUUAAGGUAUGUUGAAGGGUUUGCCUUGGUACUUACUGGGUAAGGACAACGAGGAAUUUUUAGUUCCUGAAUCUACUUUUUAUAUUUUCUCUCUUUCCUUUCCCCUCUCAGUCUCCCUCAAUCUUUUUUUUAAAAAUGGGUUCAUUCUCACACUGGUCCUCUUAAAGCAUGUGAAAUAGUUGGGAUUAUUUAAACUCAGGCUCCAGAAAUCAUUUGAGGUUGCCUCCUAAUCGUACUGCUCAUCAGCACUGUGUCUCCCCGUCUCCGGGGAUAGUAACCUGUUUUGGUUCUGCCCUGUAGUAGCAUCUAGAGCUGGACUGGGGCUCAUUAUUCUCAUCUCAGCCUUCAGAACCCUUGCAGACCUUGGCCACUGAAACUAUCCUCCAUGCUCAUGGGCCUCAGCAGUGGGUAAAAGGCACCCUACUCCAGUGACCCCAAUAGAGGGCUCCUUUGGGACCUGCUUAGUCAGGCUAAUCUUGGAAAUUUCACUCUGUUCUGUCCAUCUCUGAGUGCUGCCCAAUAUCACCUGCACCCCCACCAGUCUCUGCCACAAAGUUGCCCCGAGGACACUGCCAGUUUUGACAGGUAGAGAAGGUCAAGAAGGACUUUUCCAGGUCUGAUGCUUAUCUUGUUUCCUCUUCAGCUGUAAAGAAUUCCCUGAAUAGUGAGCAUAAGAUCCCAGAGGCUCUUCCACAUUGCAAGGAGGAAACCAUCUUCUUUUCCACCUCUGCUCCACUCCAGAGAGACAGCAAAGAUAAAUCUGAACCCUCCAGCCUCCAUGGUGGCUGUCCAAGGAGGACGUUGCCAAGAUGGGUCAAACCUUGACAUUUCCAACCAUGUGGGGUUGGGGAGGGCACUGAAUGAAGAAAGAGGGGCCUGAAAUACCAAAUUCACUGUUAAAAAAAUUCAGGGUUAGUACCUAGUACAUAGAAAGACCAGAGCUAGAAUCCUUAGGAGACUGGCUUUAGUGGGGAAAAAAAAACCGUUUAUAAUAAAUAUGACAAGUGAUGGCUACGUAUCUUUUUAAUUGUUUUGUUUUUGUUUUGGUGGGGGGAGGUAACUAAGUUUAUUUCUUAACUUAUUUUUUUUUAAAUGGAGGUACUGGGGAUUGAACCUAGGACCUCACGCAUGCUAAGCAAGUGCUCUACCACUGAGCUCUACCCUCCCCGGUCACACAUC